AAUCUGGUUGAUCCUGCCAGUAGUCAUAUGCUUGUCUCAGAGAUUAAGCCAUGCAUGUCUAAGUACAAACCUUCAAACGGUGAAACCGCGAAUGGCUCAUUAAAUCAGCUAUGGUUCCUUGGAUCGUACAUACUACAUGGAUAACUGUAUUAAUUCUAGAGCUAAUACAUGCCACUAUGCCCUGACCCGCAAGGGAACGGGUGGAUUUAUUAGAACAGAACCAACCGGCGGUGACUUCGGUUGCCGUCGUUGCAUUCUGUGAUGACUCUGGAUAACUUUACUGAUCGCAGUCGGCCUUGUGUCGGCGACGGUCUUUCAAAUGUCUGCCCUAUCAAUUUUCGAUGGUAGGUGACCUGCCUACCAUGGUGAUAACGGGUAACGGGGAAUCAGGGUUCGAUUCCGGAGAGGGAGCCUGAGAAACGGCUACCACUUCCAAGGAAGGCAGCAGGCGCGCAAAUUACCCAAUCCCGGCACGGGGAGGUAGUGACGAAAAAUACGGAUACGGGACUCAUUAGAGGCUCCGUAAUUCGAAUGAGUACAAUUUAAAUCCUUUAACGAGGAUCAACUGGAGGGCAAGUCUGGUGCCAGCAGCCGCGGUAACUCCAGCUCCAGAAGCGUAUAUUAAAGUUGUUGCAGUUAAAAAGCUCGUAGUUGGAUCUGGGUCGCAUGGCUACAUGCCGUUGCUCGUAUUCCUGGCCUGGUUCACACCGGGACGGGUUUGUGAGUCGGUGUCGUGGUUGUGCAGCCUUUCUGCCGUGUCUGUUUCGACAGGUGUUAGCAUGAUUGGUGGGUUCGUCCCUGCCUGAUCUGUUGACAUGCUUCCCAGGUGCCUUAACCGGGUCGUCGGGGGCGGACGGCACGUUUACUUUGAACAAAUUUGAGUGCUCAAAGCAGGCCCGUGUGCCUGAAAAUUCUUGCAUGGAAUAAUGGAAUAGGACUUCGGUUCUAUUUUGUUGGUUUUCGGAUCCGAAGUAAUGGUUAAAAGGGACAGACGGGGGCAUUUGUAUGGCGGUGUUAGAGGUGAAAUUCUUGGAUCACCGCCAGACAAACUACAGCGAAAGCAUUUGCCAAGGAUGUUUUCAUUGAUCUGGAGCGAAAGUCAGAGGUUCGAAGACGAUCAGAUACCGUCCUAGUUCUGACCAUAAACGAUGCCAACUGACGAUCCGUGGUGGCGCGAUUAUUGGCCCCGCGGGCAGCCCCCGGGAAACCUUUAAGUCUUUGGGCUCCGGGGGAAGUAUGGUUGCAAAGCUGAAACUUAAAGGAAUUGACGGAAGGGCACCACCAGGAGUGGCAGUGCGGCUUAAUUCGACUCAACACGGGAAAUCUCACCCGGCCCGGACACUGUGAGGAUUGACAGAUUGAUAGCUCUUUCUUGAUUCGGUGGUUGGUGGUGCAUGGCCGUUCUUAGUUGGUGGAGCGAUUUGUCUGGUUAAUUCCGAUAACGAACGAGACUUUGGCCUGCUAAAUAGUACGCCUGUCCUCUGUGCUCGUGCAGGUGGCGGUGCUCAUUGCCUCUCUGGGGUGAUGGUGCCGUUCGCCGGCGGGUGCGGCCAGGUGUCUACUUCUUAGAGGGACAAGCGGCGUGCCAGUCGCACGAAAUUGAGCAAUAACAGGUCUGUGAUGCCCUUAGAUGUCCGGGGCCGCACGUGCGCUACAAUGACGGUUUCAACGAGUUUGGGAUCCUAGCCCGAAAGGUUUGGGUAAACUGAACCAUAACCGUCGUGACUGGGAUCGGGGCUUGCAAUUGUUCCCCGUGAACGAGGAAUUCCUGGUAAGUGCAAGUCAUAAGCUUGCGCUGAUUACGUCCCUGCCCUUUGUACACACCGCCCGUCGCUACUACCGAUUGAAUGGUUUAGCAAGGUCCUCGGAUUGGUGCCAUUGUAGUUGCUUCGGCAGCUCGACCGGUGCUGAAAAGACGACCAAACUUGAUCAUUUAGAGGAAGUAAAAGUCGUAACAAGGUUUCCGUAGGUGAACCUGCGGAAGGAUCAUUG
Molecule: ribosomal RNA, 1992 nt
Filed under: Opisthorchis viverrini
Lineage: Eukaryota; Metazoa; Platyhelminthes; Trematoda; Opisthorchiida; Opisthorchiidae
Description: SSU rRNA
Rfam family: Eukaryotic small subunit ribosomal RNA
Source: RNAcentral